This 495-nucleotide ribosomal RNA is filed under the name uncultured bacterium. RNAcentral's name for it is "partial 16S ribosomal RNA". It matches the Rfam family "Bacterial small subunit ribosomal RNA", at positions 28 to 507 of the family's 1533-position model. The record is from RNAcentral.
GACGAACGCUGGCGGCGUGCCUAAUACAUGCAAGUAGAACGCUGAAGGAGGAGCUUGCUUCGCUGGAUGAGUUGCGAACGGGUGAGUAACGCGUAGGUAACCUGCCUGGGAGCGGGGGAUAACUAUUGGAAACGAUGGCUAAUACCGCAUAAGAGUAGAUGUUGCAUGACAUUGGCUUAAAAGGUGCAAUUGCAUCACUACCAGAUGGACCUGCGUUGUAUUAGCUAGGUGGUGGGGUAACGGCUCACCAAGGCGAGGAUACAUAGCCGACCUGCGAGGGGGGUCGGCCAACCUGGGAGUGAGACACGGCCCAGAGUGCCUCGGGAGGCAGCAGGAGGGAAACUUCGGGCAUGGGCGGAAAUCUGAGCGAGCUAGGCCGCGGGAGUGAGGAAGGUUUUCGGGUCGUGAAGCUCUGUUGUAAGGGUAGAACGAGUGUGAGAGUGGAAAGUUCACACUGUGACGGUAUCUUACCAGAAAGCGACGGCUAACUACGUG